GCGCAUGUGGCGGAAUUGGUAGACGCGCUAGGUUGAGGGCCUAGUGACCUNAUAUUNGUCGUGGAAGUUCGAGUCUUCUCAUGCGCA
This 87-nucleotide transfer RNA is filed under the name Cytophagia bacterium. RNAcentral describes it as "tRNA-Leu". It matches the Rfam family "tRNA". Rfam says of the family: Transfer RNA (tRNA) molecules are approximately 80 nucleotides in length. Their secondary structure includes four short double-helical elements and three loops (D, anti-codon, and T loops). The record is from RNAcentral. Lineage: Bacteria; Pseudomonadati; Bacteroidota; Cytophagia.